Small nucleolar RNA from Malania oleifera, 107 nucleotides. RefSeq annotates it as small nucleolar RNA snoR97. The transcript has a single exon. Lineage: Eukaryota; Viridiplantae; Streptophyta; Magnoliopsida; Santalales; Ximeniaceae. The record is from RefSeq and is a predicted model, not a curated record.
UAUAGACUGUUGGUGUAGAGCCUGAAAAACUCAUAAAUUGUGUGCUGUCAUCAGCUUCUUCUCAUGCAUUUACCACGAGAUUGGGGUCAAAUCACAGCACCAUAUUU